GUAGUAGGGAAGGAUCUCUUGCUGGAGAUGCCCCCCCCCUCUGCCCUCUUCUGGAGUUUUCCUCCUGAGCCUAGAUGUUUAGAGAUGGCUUUUUUGAAAGUUGACUCGGGAGCCUGAAGUUAAUAUCUUUUCCAGUUCUUUGAAGCAAAUUAUUUGCCGGAUUUAAACCACAUCAGGUUUUCACUGUGAUUCACUUAUAAGGAUAUUUUCUACUUUUGUUUCUGAUGCUCUUCAACUCAGCUGCCAAAUGGGGACUGAAGUUUUACUGGAAGAGCAAUCCUAGUGAGAAAAUGGCGUUUAGAAGUCUAUCUGCAGACAGAGACAGAGAACGGACUUUGUUCAGAUAACAGAAAGCAAGUGUCUGGAGACUGCUAUGGUAACUUGCAGCACUGGAGGAGAAGAGUGCUGCUAUGACAGCCUCAUGCAAAGUAGAGCCAACUGCACAGCCUUCCCCCCCAUGCUGCAGCUGUGUCCAGACCUAACAGAGAGCAAUAGCUGAAGUUCUGGAAGGCCAUUUCUGCUCUUUUCGGUCCUGGCUUCAUAAUUUAUAUUUCAGAUGUGACCAGAGAUGGUUAUUUCAUUCAUGGAUGUUAACAA
Tympanuchus pallidicinctus (lesser prairie-chicken) is the source of this 597-nucleotide long non-coding RNA. RefSeq lists it as uncharacterized. NCBI's taxonomy places the organism in Eukaryota, Metazoa, Chordata, Aves, Galliformes, Phasianidae. The record is from RefSeq and is a predicted model, not a curated record. The transcript is spliced from 4 exons.